GUUGAAAUAGCUCAAAGGGAGAGCGACAGACUGAAAAUCUGGAGAGCUUGGUUCAAUCCCAAGUUUCAAAA
Exocentrus adspersus is the source of this 71-nucleotide non-coding RNA. Lineage: Eukaryota; Metazoa; Arthropoda; Insecta; Coleoptera; Cerambycidae. The record is from the annotation of a GenBank genome assembly.